RNAcentral lists this ribosomal RNA (422 nucleotides) under uncultured bacterium. Its description in RNAcentral is "bacterial SSU rRNA". It matches the Rfam family "Bacterial small subunit ribosomal RNA", at positions 355 to 774 of the family's 1533-position model. The record is from RNAcentral.
UAAGGAAUAUUGGACAAUGGAGGCAACUCUGAUCCAGCCAUGCCGCGUGAAGGAAUAAGGCCCUAUGGGUUGUAAACUUCUUUUAGACGGGACAAAACCCCUUUACGUGUAAAGGGUUGAUGGUACUGUCAGAAUAAGCAUCGGCUAACUUCGUGCCAGCAGCCGCGGUAAUACGAAGGAUGCAAGCGUUAUCCGGAAUUAUUGGGUUUAAAGGGUGCGUAGGCGGACUAAUAAGUCAGUGGUGAAAGCCUGCAGCUUAACUGCAGAAUUGUCAUUGAUACUGUUAGUCUUGAGUACAGUUGAGGUAGGCGGAAUGUGUCAUGUAGCGGUGAGAUGCUUAGAUAUGACACAGAACACCGAUUGCGAAGGCAGCUUGCUAAGCUGUAACUGACGCUGAGGCACGAAAGCGUGGGGAGCAAACA